RNAcentral lists this ribosomal RNA (215 nucleotides) under Glomeromycotina sp. Its description in RNAcentral is "partial small subunit ribosomal RNA". The stretch from base 40 to 215 matches the Rfam family "Eukaryotic small subunit ribosomal RNA", at positions 686 to 864 of the family's 1831-position model. The record is from RNAcentral. Lineage: Eukaryota; Fungi; Glomeromycota.
GGGUCAGUAGGUUGGUCGUGCCACCGGUACGUACUGGUCUCACUGAUUCCUCCUUCCUGAAGAACCGUAAUGCCAUUAAUUUGGUGUUGCGGGGAAACAGGACUGUUACUUUGAAAAAUUAGAGUGUUUAAAGCAAGCUAACGCUUGAAUACAUUAGCAUGGAAUAAUGAAAUAGGACAAUCGAUCCUAUUUUGUUGGUUUCUAGGAUUGACGUA